This is a non-coding RNA of Rhamnusium bicolor, 80 nucleotides long. Lineage: Eukaryota; Metazoa; Arthropoda; Insecta; Coleoptera; Cerambycidae. The record is from the annotation of a GenBank genome assembly.
GGCAUGGUAGCCGAGUGGUAAAGCGCUUAUUUUAGUCGGUAACCAAUAUCAAUGGUUCGAAUCCAUUCCGGAGCAAGUUA